Morone saxatilis (striped sea-bass) is the source of this 873-nucleotide long non-coding RNA. RefSeq lists it as uncharacterized. The record is from RefSeq and is a predicted model, not a curated record. The transcript has 2 exons. NCBI's taxonomy places the organism in Eukaryota, Metazoa, Chordata, Actinopteri, Moronidae.
UCUAGUAAAAAGUACUUCAGAGGUUUUUUUUAACCUACAAAACUGAGUUCAUUACCUAAAAUGUUUGACGUAAUUCAUUUUAACUCAAAUUAUAGUUUAUUAGAUAUAGAUAAGAUAUUUAUCUUAAGUCGGCUAAUGAACAAACACUAGUUAACUAAUCUGCUUCAACUGUUAUCUCGUUAGUUACAUCUGAUACCUAAUGUUAGCAAAACAGUAGCUUAAUAACUCGACUGUCAUUGGAGCACAGCGCAAAAGGGGCGGGGCUUAUGACGGGUCAGUUAUUUGUAUUUGUUUAUCUGUUUUAAAAACAUUAUUUUAGUUCCUUUAAUUUUAUUUUAUUUCUGUCACAUCCAGUUUCAAAUGUGCAAAUUAUUUUUUACAAUUUCGUCUCCGGACAUUUUGGAAUUUGGACGCAACGAAGAAACAGCAGAAAUAAAAAAGCACAAAAUACUUUAGUUUCUCAGUUUGGGAAAAAAAAUGACACACGAAGAACAAAAGUUGUUUUUAAACUUGCAGUCCGCUUCAUUUUCUGGGCAUAAAAUUCAAAUAUGAGCAAAAAACUCCAUAUUUAAAAAAAUGUGACUGGAAGAUAAACUCAUUAAAUUUCAUCCAAAAAGAAUUAAAGGAAUAUUUCACCCAAACAUGAUAAUCUGGUUUUGAUACAUUGACUGGAUUCAUGGAUGGAUUACUGAACGGGGUCUACCGGGCACAGGUCCAGGGUCCUAACGGGGGCUCGUUAUCUUAAUAAAUAAUCCAUCCAUGAGCCCUUUAUGAUCCACAUUAAAAAGUUUCCAUUUAAUCUUAUAAUCAGUAAUUAGUUCAACGAUGAUGAUUUAGAUCAAUAAGGUUCAUUCAUAUUCAGAGUUUUUAUAU